This 331-nucleotide ribosomal RNA is filed under the name uncultured eukaryote. Its description in RNAcentral is "partial 18S ribosomal RNA". It matches the Rfam family "Eukaryotic small subunit ribosomal RNA", at positions 1470 to 1796 of the family's 1831-position model. The record is from RNAcentral.
CCCUUAGAUGUUCUGGGCCGCACGCGCGCUACACUGACGAAGUCAGCGAGCAUGUCCUACGCCGACAGGUGCGGGGAAUCUUGUCAAACUUCGUCGUGAUGGGGAUUGAUUAUUGAAAUUCUUGAUCAUCAACGAGGAAUUCCUAGUAAGCGCAAGUCAGCAGCUUGCGUUGAUUACGUCCCUGCCCUUUGUACACACCGCCCGUCGCUACUACCGAUUGAAUGGUUUAGUGAGAUCUUCGGAUUGGCGCCACUGCGGCUCAGCAAAGGGCUCGGUGGAUGCCGAAAAGUUGAUCAAACUUGAUCAUUUAGAGGAAGUAAAAGUCGUAACA